AUAUUUUUACAUGAGAAAUUUUUGUGUAUGUAAUUGAAUAUUUGCAUAUCUUCCUUUUUAAAGUUGCUGCCUUUGUUGUCUUUAGAAAGGACUUCCCCAUCCCAAGGUUACACAUAACUUUCCUACAUUUUCUUACAGUAUUUUUUUGUUUCUUUAUUAUACUUUUAAAUUGUAAUCCAUCUGAAUCUAUUUUGUCAUAUAGCAAUGUGAGGAUUUAAGUUUCUCUCUUUUCCAAAUAGUUUUCUACUUGUCCUGACAAUGGUCUACUGAAUAAUCUAUCCUUUUGUGUUCAAGUUGAACCCUGAAAAAUCAUACUCUAAAAUUCUUCUAUGUAUAUUUUCUUUUUCAAUGAUUUUUUACCUACCUUUUUUGAUUAGCAUAUUAUUUUAACUAUUGUAAUGCAUUUAAAUAUCUGAUAGCUUGAAUCAUUCAUCUUUUCCAAAAAUUUCUUGGCAAUUGCUUUCAUCAUCUCCUGACCAGAUGGUUGUCAUGGUAUCUUAUUGCUUAUUCUACCGUUGGUCUCCCUUGCUUCUAAUCUGUUCACAACACAGCAGACUAGUGUUCUAAAACACAAAUUGGAUAAUUUACUCUCUUGAUUGUAAUAUAUACUUCCAGGUAUUUAAAAAGACUGAAAAUGGGUACAUUGCCUAUAUCAGGGUUUUGAACUUUAAGUCCAAGCUAUUUCUGGGCUUCAGAGUAUUUGUGGACACCAUACACAUUAUUUUGGUGGAUGUGCUUUCUCCCCUCUUUUUCUUGAGAAUAGGAUUCAUAGUUAUACUAGAUUUUAAAGAUUCAUGACCCCAAAGUAUUAAUGACCAUUGGGCUACAAGAAGGAGGUCAGAUUCUUUAGAAUGGUUCAUAAGGAGCACACUCCCCAUGGGUGAACUUUGCUUACCUCCCUUAGCACCCUCCUACAUCCUUCCUGCUUUUCACCCAUCCUGAACUCCUUGCACUUUACUGAACAGUCUGUUGGUUCAUGCCUCAGUGCCUUUGUACAUGUUAUUCCUUCUGUGGAAGAACUCUCCCUACACACCCCACCCAUCUGGAAAACUGUUGCUUGUACUUCAAGAAAUGAUCAAAAGGUUUUCACCUCUGUGAAACCUUUCCUGAUUUCCUUAGGCAAGGCUGAUCUCUCUUUCUCUUUUUAUUUUAUUUUAUCAUAUAUAUUUUUUUGUCUUUUUAGGCAUAUGGAGGUCCCAGGGUAGGAGUCAAACCAGAGCUGUAGCCACUGGCCUACACCAGAGCCACAGCCAGGCAGUAUCCGAGCUGCAUCUGCACUGUACACCACAGGUCAUGGCAACGCCAGAUCCUUACCCCACUGAGCAAGGGAAGGGAUAAAACCUGCAACCUCAUGGUUCCUAGUUGGAUUUGUUAACCACUGAGCCAUGACGGGAACUCCGUCUCUUUCUCUUUUUAAAUUGUUGUACUUAGUCUGUAUUUUAUUAUUAUUCUUACAUUACUGGUAGAUUCUUGAGCACAAGUCAGAGAAAUUUUGUGGGAGAGUGGGAGGGUCAAUGAAAGGAAGUAGAAUAAUUAGUGGGGUCUUGCAGUCUUGCAUGAAGGCAGUGGAGAUUGGGGAAGGGAGUGGAGAUUUAUUUUGAAAAUAGAGUGGACAAGAUUUGUUGAUGAGCUAUUGCUGUAGGGGGGAAAAUGAGCAAUCUGGUAUGAUCCCUAGGUUUCUGACUCAAAUAUCUGGGUGGAUAGUGUGGCCAUCAUUUUGCUCAUUAAGCUGUAGACUCAAUAAGUUUUUAUCCAGUAGAUAAUUCCCCAAAGUUCUUAGAUGCCACUUUUCCUGACGUAAUGCAAAAGUUUGAUGCCAUGUGGGGUAGGAUGAAUAGUUCCUGUACUGCCUCCUGAGACUAAGAUUCUGGGGAUGCUUGCCAUGCCAUAUGCACUGAGACCCAGGGGGAAGUCUUCACGGAUUAGAUGUAUCUUGAAAUAGAUCUGGAAUGAAUACCAAAUUUAAAAUAUAGAUGGGAGUUCCCAUUGUGGCUCAGCAGUAACGAAACCAACUAGUAUCCAUGAGGGUGCAGGUUCGAUCCCUGGCCUUGCACAGUGGGUUAAGGAUCCCGCAUUACUGUGAGCUAUGGUAUAGGUCACAGACAUGAAUUGGAGCCCAUGUUGCUAUGGCUGUGGUGUAGGCCAGCAGCUGCAGCUCUGAUUCAGCUCCUAGCCUGGGAACUCCCAUAUGCUGCAAGUGUGGCCCUAAAAAGAAAAAAAAAAUUGGAGAUGAAGUAAAGCUCAUGUCUGUCAUCCUCAAUUCAUUUAAUUUUCUGAGAUGUUUGUAAUUCUACAUAAAAUGUAUUUUCACAGUUACAAAGGCUUUGUUUGCUAUUGGAGUUAAAACAAUGUUCACUAGUUAAGCUAUAGGGAAGUCUGAAACUUCAAGUUUGUGCUUGGCAGUUACCAUCUGAACUUCCGAGAGGUGAAAUAUAUUUCACUCUUACUCCUUUUAAAGGCUGCAUGGUGUUUUGUUUCUUACAUGUCAUAUUGUUUAUAUAGCCAGUUCCUUCCAUUUAGGUUGUUUUAAUGUUUUCCUGUAUCCAACAGUACACACAUAUGCAAGUAUAUCUGUAGGACAGAGUCUUAAGGGUAGAAUUAUUUAUUUAUUUAAUUUUUUUCUUUUAAAUGAUUUUUAUUUUUUUUCCAUUAUAGCUGGUUUACAGUGUUCUGUCAAUUUUUUCCCCCUUUUUAAAUGUUAUUUCCCCAAUACAAUUUUUUUUUUCUCCUGUACAGCAUGGUGACACAGUUACACAUACAUUCUGUCAAUUUUAAGAGUAGAAUUAUUUAGACGAAAGCAAUUAAAAAUUUUUGUACUAGUUUACCCUUCUAGCAAUGUCUGUGAGUCACUGCUUCUCCUAUCACCCCACCAACACUGAGUAUAAAUCUAGUAGGCAAAAAUACUACCUUAUUGUUACUUUGUUUCUUUCAUUGUGAGUACAGUUGAGUAUCUUCCCCAUGUCAACAUGUCUAUUUCCUUGAAUAGCUACUCUUGAACCUCUGAAAUUAUGAGAAAGUGGUGACUAUCAAAAGGAAAAUUGGCUCAUUUUUCCUGAUACCUCUCUUGGAACUGCCUAGAGGCCUCCAUUUCCAGUCUUGUGGAGACCAACUCAGGUCACUCAACCAGUGGUCCCAGUUCCUUCCUCAUGUGAAUUUAUUGAAUGCACACUCUAUGCCAGAUUCUGUCUUAGCUGCUUGGGAAGGUGUAGUCAGGGAACAAAACAGGCACAAAAUCCUGCUCUUAAGGAUUUUGUAUUCCAAAGGGGAAAGAAUAUUGUAAGUUAAUUAGCUAAAAAUUACAAAUAUCAGGUGGUGAUAUUGGCAUGAAGAAGAAUAAAUCAGAGGAAAGAUUUAGGUGGUAUGGAUGCGGGGAGGUGCUAUUUUACAUAGAUUGUCAAGAAAGACCUUUCUGAGCACGUCUGUGGCUUCUUCCACAUCUGUGUGUCUAGUUAUACUCCCCUCCUUUCCUUCAUUCUUACUAUUUCUUUCAAGUGUGAAUUCUCUGAUACCAAAUACGGAUAGAGCUUUGUUUAACGACCUUUCUAUAGUGAUUAUGUUAAAAUGAUUUCAGUGUGAAUUCUCUGAUAUGUUGGAGCAAAUGAAUGAUAACUAAAGGCCUCUUAAAACUUGUUAAGAUUUGUAGGGUGAUAAGGAGCACCAACCUCUGAUACAGAAAAAGUGUGGAAUAUUCCAACAGCUAGUGAGGGCCAUUUCACUCCAUUCAUGGAUCUCUCACAAAUGCCUGAGUUGGUCACAAAAUAAACAGCUUCUCAAUGGGGCUAGUUUAUGGCUUUUGUCCUCAUGACAAAGGCAGUCUUCAUGUGGAAAAAUUGACCUAGUAAGGAAAAGUGGAAGUCAAACUUCAUCAUAGCUUCCAUGCCUCCUAAAUAUAAAAUGUCUACCAUAGGAUUGGUUUGGAAACAAAUGUAUUUAUUUAUUUAGUCUUCUUAGGGCCGCACCUAUGGCACAUGGAGGUUCCCAGACUAGGGGUCCAACUGGAGCUACAGCUGCAGGCCUACACCAGAGCCACAGCAACUCGAGAUCCGAGCCAUGUCUGUGACCUACACCACAGCUCACAGCAACACUGGGUCCUUAAUCCACUGAGCAAGGCCAGGGAUCAAACACGCAACCUCAUGGUUCCUAGUUGGAUUUGUUAACCACUGAGCCACAACGGGAACUCCUGGAAACAAAUGCUUUUAAAAUUUUUAUCUGGAUGCUUAUGAGCUGGAAAGAAAUGGAGGCAGUGGUAACUGAAUUUCUAUAAUGGAUGUUAAAGAUAUGAAGAGUAUUUCUAAUUUACAUAUUCCCUCUGAAUUUAUGCAAAAAGGUAUUAAUAUAAGUGUAAAUUAACAUAAAGACCCAAGUGUAUUAAGAAUAUUCAAGAUCUAUACACAAAUGAUAGUGGAAAAGACUACUAUCCAGUUCUUGGCAAAAAUAAAAAUUUGGGGCACAGAGUUGGGAGAGUCUACUCACCAUCAGUUUUCACUGAAAUCACAAACUGGAUGCUUAGAUUUCCUUGCAGUCAGGAGUCCAUGUAAAAUAUUAUAUGUAAUAAUAUCCUUUAUUAAAUUCCUUAUGUAAGGCAUUGUGCUAAGCACUUUAUAUACUAUCUAAUUCAUUCUUGCAUUAAGACUGAAAGGCUUUGGCGUUCCCAUCGUGGCUCAGUGGAAACAAACCUGAUUAAUAUCCAUGAGGAUUCAGGUUCCAUCCCUGACCCCACUCAGUGGAUUAAGGAUCUUGCAUUGCCGUGAGCUGUGGUGUAGGUUACAGACAAGACUUAGAUCCUGCAUUGCUAUGGCUGUGGCUGGCAGCUGCAGCUCCAAUUUAACCCCUAGCCUGGGAACUUCUAUAUGCCUGCAGUGUGGCCCUAAAAAAA
This 4876-nucleotide long non-coding RNA is filed under the name Sus scrofa (pig). RNAcentral's name for it is "lncRNA (ENSSSCG00005000189.1)". The record is from RNAcentral. Lineage: Eukaryota; Metazoa; Chordata; Mammalia; Artiodactyla; Suidae.